This 517-nucleotide long non-coding RNA is filed under the name Crocodylus porosus (Australian saltwater crocodile). Its description in RNAcentral is "lncRNA (ENSCPRG00005018194.1)". The record is from RNAcentral. Lineage: Eukaryota; Metazoa; Chordata; Crocodylia; Crocodylidae.
CCCCCAGUCCUCCCGAGCUGGAGCAUGGGCACCCAGAGCCCACCAUGACCAGCCGGUGUGACCGGCCAGUUUGAAGAGGCCAGGGUUUGCCUGGGAUCGGCCUGCAGGGACCCCCUGGGCAGGACGGGCCUCCUGGCUUGAAGGGGGACACUGGUUUGCCAGGCCCACCAGGACCCCAGGGCUCACCAGGCAUUGCAGGGACCCCAGGCCAGCCUGGCCUGAGGGGAGAAAAUGGACAGCCAGGGCCCCCAGGAGCUCCAGGAGAGAGGGGUUUGAUUGGCUUUCCUGGAAGAGAUGGCACCGCUGGACCAUCAGGUCCCCCAGGACCCCCAGGGCUAGCUGGGACCCCAGGCAUCUCAGGACUGAAGGGGGACAAGGGAGAUGUGGGGACAGGACUGCCAGGAGCCAGAGGCGAGCGAGGAGACCCAGGGCCUCGGGUGCGUAUCUCCCCUCCCUCACACCAUCACUCAGACCCUGCUCACCCCACCUUGGCCAGCACCCAGUAUUGCCAUGAGGC